UUUGAUCAUUUAUUUCUCAUCUAGGCAACAAAAAUGUAUGAAAAACUUUUUUCUCCAUUUCUCUCUUCCUCAUUUUUUCUCUUUUUUUUUUCUUUUUGUUUUUUAGCUAAAGGUAAUAACUUCUUCAUCUUCUUCUUUUUUUUUUUUUUUUGCAAUCGUUUACAGGGGUGACUCUGCUGUCAGUGAUCCAACUUCUUCUAGAGGACGAUCAUGCUUUUGUCGUCAGAUCCACCUCCCUAGUAGGAGCAAUGCAAUUGGGCAUUUUCGUCGUCAACGAUCAAACUUCUUCUAGGGGACGAUCGGGCUUUUGCCAUCAGAUCCACCUCCCUAAUAUGAGCGAUCGGGCAUUUUCGCCAUCAGGGAUCCAACUUCUUUUAAAGGACAAUCAAGCUUUUGACGUUAGAUCCGCCUCCCUAGGAGUGAUCGGGUUGAGAAGUAUAAAUAUCAUUUGGUAUUUGACCUUUUGAUUUGGUCUGGGCACUUGGUGUCCUAUUCGUUUUAGUUUUGUUAUGAAACAGAAGUUUUACUUCUACAGUCGACAUGAAAGAUGAGAACAAAGGUCGUUCGGUUCAUAAAGCUAAUUAAGGUUUGUUCAAUUAGUUAUUAAUGUUGAGAUAUUGUUCUUGUAGGAUCGAUUGAUUUUGGAUGAUUAUCUGCUUCUAAGUUCUUAUAAAAUGAUUUGUACUAUUCAAAAAUGGUUUUUAAUCCUCUGGAGACCACUCUCCAAUACUUUCUUUUUUGUAUCUUAAACAACUAGAUUGAGAUAUUGAGAGAGUUGUUUUUUGGCGACAGAUUAGCGAUUUUCAGGUGAGUUUCAGUUGUGUAUGUUCUGUUUUAGCCGUAGGUUCUUCUAGGAUUCUUCUAGCCUGUGACACAUUUUUAACCGUUUUAGUAUGCAUACUCUCUAUACACCUAAAACUCAUUGUUCCAUUUAUUAUAUUACUUAUUCAAGUAUUGAUUGUGUACUGUGUCAUGUAUCUGAAAAUAUCUACUUAGGAAUACUAGUUGGUAAUAAUCUCAAGUAUGUGAGAUUUACUUUGCGGAUUCUAUGCUUUUCUUAGGUGCACAAUUUACUUGUUUUUGCUCAUUCAAUCUUGUAUGCAAUUUGUUUGAAACAUUAUAAAUAGUAUAAUAUGACUAAUUUUUAUAUUUAACAAAGCGUCUACUCGAGUUUUUGUGUUUUAUAGAUUGGUACGAGUUGUUCGUACUCACAACUUGAAUUGGAUGAAAUACGAGCGGAGUGGGCUGAAUAUUUAGCUCGGUACAUAUGAUAGACACACCUAGAUAUGAUCUUGUUAAUUUUGUAAAUGGCUAACAUAUAGGAAUCUCCAUAAUUUUUCUUUUUUUUUUGUGUAAAUGUUUUGUUAAUAGCCAUUAUGCUUAUGUACAUGAGGCAAUAGAUGUAAAGGGAUAAAAUUUAGCUUUGAUAUACCACACUUGUUUUUUGUUAUAUAACAUAGUUAUUAUUGUUGAUUUUGGAAUAGGCUACAUAUAGGAAACUUUAGUUGACUAUAUUUGAUUAGAAUUGUGUAAUUGUUGAUGAC
Molecule: long non-coding RNA, 1544 nt
Filed under: Cucumis sativus (cucumber)
Lineage: Eukaryota; Viridiplantae; Streptophyta; Magnoliopsida; Cucurbitales; Cucurbitaceae
Description: long non-coding RNA (CSAT_LNC001092)
Source: RNAcentral